RNAcentral lists this ribosomal RNA (342 nucleotides) under uncultured Bacteroides sp. RNAcentral's name for it is "bacterial SSU rRNA". It matches the Rfam family "Bacterial small subunit ribosomal RNA", at positions 22 to 355 of the family's 1533-position model. The record is from RNAcentral. Lineage: Bacteria; Pseudomonadati; Bacteroidota; Bacteroidia; Bacteroidales; Bacteroidaceae.
GCUCAGGAUGAACGCUAGCUACAGGCUUAACACAUGCAAGUCGAGGGGCAGCAUGGUCUUAGCUUGCUAAGGCCGAUGGCGACCGGCGCACGGGUGAGUAACACGUAUCCAACCUGCCGUCUACUCUUGGACAGCCUUCUGAAAGGAAGAUUAAUACAAGAUGGCAUCAUGAGUCCGCAUGUUCACAUGAUUAAAGGUAUUCCGGUAGACGAUGGGGAUGCGUUCCAUUAGAUAGUAGGCGGGGUAACGGCCCACCUAGUCUUCGAUGGAUAGGGGUUCUGAGAGGAAGGUCCCCCACAUUGGAACUGAGACACGGUCCAAACUCCUACGGGAGGCAGCAGU